UUCCGUUGGGGUAACCUGCGGAGGGAUCAUUACCGAGUUUACAACUCCCAAACCCCUGUGAACAUACCUAUACGUUGCCUCGGCGGAUCAGCCCGCGCCCCGUAAAAAGGGACGGCCCGCCCGAGGACCCCUAAACUCUGUUUUUAGUGGAACUUCUGAGUAAAACAAACAAAUAAAUCAAAACUUUCAACAACGGAUCUCUUGGUUCUGGCAUCGAUGAAGAACGCAGCAAAAUGCGAUAAGUAAUGUGAAUUGCAGAAUUCAGUGAAUCAUCGAAUCUUUGAACGCACAUUGCGCCCGCCAGUAUUCUGGCGGGCAUGCCUGUUCGAGCGUCAUUUCAACCCUCAAGCUCAGCUUGGUGUUGGGACUCGCGGUAACCCGCGUUCCCCAAAUCGAUUGGCGGUCACGUCGAGCUUCCAUAGCGUAGUAAUCAUACACCUCGUUACUGGUAAUCGUCGCGGCCACGCCGUAAAACCCCAACUUCUGAAUGUGACCUCGGAUCAGUAGAUUCCCGGGUCAU
RNAcentral lists this ribosomal RNA (520 nucleotides) under fungal sp. RNAcentral's name for it is "eukaryotic LSU rRNA". The stretch from base 182 to 335 matches the Rfam family "5.8S ribosomal RNA". Lineage: Eukaryota; Fungi. The record is from RNAcentral.